This 424-nucleotide ribosomal RNA is filed under the name uncultured bacterium. Its description in RNAcentral is "partial 16S ribosomal RNA". It matches the Rfam family "Bacterial small subunit ribosomal RNA", at positions 360 to 776 of the family's 1533-position model. The record is from RNAcentral.
AAUAUUGGACAAUUGGGGCAACCCUGAUCCAGCCAUGCCGCGUGUGUGAAGAAGGUCUUCGGAUUGUAAAGCACUCUAAGUUGGGAGGAAGGGCUUUAGGCUAAUACCCUGUAUUUAUGACGUUACCAACAAAAUAAGCACCGUCUCACUCCUUGCCAGCAGCCGCGGAAAGACAGAGGGUGCAAGCGUUAAUCGAAAUUACUGGGCGUAAAGCGCGCGUAGGUGGUUCAGUAAGAUGGGUGUGAAGUCCCCGGGCUUAACCUGGGAACUGCUUUCAUAACUGCUGAGCUAGAGUACGGUAGAGGGUAGUGGAAUUUCCUGUGUAGCGGUGAAAUGCGUAGAUAUAGGAAGGAACACCAGUGGCGAAGGCGACUACCUGGACUGAUACUGACACUGAGGUGCGAAAGCGUGGGGAGCAAACAGG